AACGUAGGAGGCAAGCGUUAUCCGGAGUUACUGGGCGUAAAGCGCAUGUAGGCGGUUGGGUAAGUGGCGUGUGAAAGCUCCCGGCUAAACUGGGAGAGGACAGGUCAGACUGCCGAACUGGAGUCCGAUAGAGGAGCGUAGAAUUCCGGGUGUAGCGGUGAAAUGUGUAGAGAUCCGGAGGAAUACCAGUGGCGCAAGCGGCGCUCUGGGUCGGGACUGACGCUGAGAUGCGAAAGCGUGGGGAGCGAACGGG
RNAcentral lists this ribosomal RNA (253 nucleotides) under uncultured bacterium. RNAcentral describes it as "partial 16S ribosomal RNA". It matches the Rfam family "Bacterial small subunit ribosomal RNA", at positions 524 to 776 of the family's 1533-position model. The record is from RNAcentral.